UAGUCCACGCCCUAAACGAUGUACACUAGUUGUUGCAAUGCUAGACAUUGCAGUAAUGCAGUUAACACAUUAAGUGUACCGCCUGGGGAGUACGGUCGCAAGAUUAAAACUCAAAGGAAUAGACGGGGACCCGCACAAGCGGUGGAGCAUGUGGUUUAAUUCGACGAUACGCGAAGAACCUUACCUGGGCUUGACAUUUACAGAAUGAAUUAGAGAUAGUUUAGUGUCUGCUUGCAGAAACUGUAGGACAGGUGCUGCACGGCUGUCGUCAGCUCGUGUCGUGAGAUGUUGGGUUAAGUCCCGCAACGAGCGCAACCCACGUCAUUAGUUGCUAACACAUAAGGUGAGAACUUUAAUGAGACUGCCUGGGUAACCAGGAGGAAGGUGUGGACGACGUCAAGUCAUCAUGGCCCUUACGUCCAGGGCUACACACGUGCUACAAUGGGGCAUACAAAGAGCUGCAAUACCGCGAGGUGGAGCAAAUCUUAAAAAUGCCU
Molecule: ribosomal RNA, 497 nt
Filed under: uncultured bacterium
Lineage: Bacteria
Description: bacterial SSU rRNA
Rfam family: Bacterial small subunit ribosomal RNA
Source: RNAcentral